CUCAAAAAUUUCCAGCCGCCACUCUCUUCUCCUUCUCUCCCACGCACCUUCUUCAUCCUUGCGCAGGGCGGCAGCAGCCACCAGCGAGCCCUGCUCCACGCGCCCCAGCCAUGGCGCCCUUCUUCCCCAGCGCAGGGAGCUCGGCUCCCUUCCUCCCAGGGCGCUGGCCUCUCUCCCAUGGUCGGCCCUCUGCUCCGGCGCUCGGCAUCCCUGCAGCAGGCGCCCUUCUUCCUCCCUGGCUCCCACGGCAGCAAGCAGCCAGCAGGGAGCAAGGCCAGCCCCCAUGGCGCCCUUCCUCCUCGGCUCAAUGGUGUGGCCGAGCAGCAGCCUCUUCUCUCUGUUUCCUAUGCGUGCGCAGGGGCAGAAACUCCAUGGCCGCCGAGCUCCAUUCCCCCAAGGAGCAGCUCCCUCCAUGGCGCCAUUUCUCCCAGCCGACGCCCUCAUUCCUCCCUGCGCAGCGCCCCUUUUCUUCUACCUCUUGCCGGCGCCCAGAAAUUCCAGCAGCGAGCAGCGCACGUCCUGCUGUCCAUGGCGUGCAGCAAACGUGGAGCUCAGCUCCACCUCUCCCCAUGGCUGCGAGCUCCCUUCCCUAGCUGCUCGGCUCCCCCUCCCAUGGAAACCAGCAGCCUCAUCUCCUCUCCCCAACCGAUGCCCUUUUUUUUCCACCUCCGGCAGCAAGCUGCGAACUCCAUUUCUCCAUGGCCGCGAGCUUUUCCUUGCUGCGACUGUCUCCCAAGGACAGCGCGCAGCAGCCUCCCCGUGGCCAUGGUCUGCAACAAGAAGUCGCGCGCUACAUGUUCGAUGUUUUGCGCAGCAGCUCCGAUGUCUCCGCGCGGCUCGCUGUUUUGUGUUGCGCAGUGAGCAGCACGCCGUGAUGCCCGUCGGUGGUUUGCUGUUUUUGCGCAGCCCCGUCGUCGUCGUUGUUCACCCCCGGUGAGGCCACGUAAAUCCUUGUUCGAUUCCGCAUCGGUAUUAAUUUCCUAUGAUUAAUUGUGUGUGUGUGCUGUUUUGUUGUGUUUGGUGGAGGAGAGAAACCCCGUGUUUUGCGAGGAGAAGGCAAGCCGCUCAACGCUCGUCGAUGGCGAAGCUAUGCACAAAUCGGAAUCACCGUCGUUCUUGCAAACGCCGUUUGGGUUUGUUUAUGGUGAGCCGAUGCAGGACCGAGAGGUGACGACCGUGCAAGUGAUGUGGUGCCACCCACAAGAUGCAGUCGGUGGACGACCCAAGGAAGGAUGGACAUAACUAGUGGAUGCUCGCCAAGCGAGUGCCACCCAACAAACACUAUUUAAGUGUUAAAUUAAAGGUACUCCUUAGGAUGAUUGGUUGAUGGUGUGACUUGGCCUCCAUCCCUGCCACCGGGAUAGAUGGUCGAGUGGGUUACUGCUUCCGCAGGAGAGGACCAGGAGGAGUAGCGUGGCCAGGCUUCGCCAUGUUACUCGGUUUUCUCCGUUAGUUAUUUCCGCUGCAUUAAAAUUUAUGGUCAUUAUUUCUGAAACUCCGAUAAUGUAAUCACUAAUGAUACUUAUUAAAUUUGUGGUAUUAUGCUUU
Molecule: unclassified non-coding RNA, 1548 nt
Filed under: Zea mays
Lineage: Eukaryota; Viridiplantae; Streptophyta; Magnoliopsida; Poales; Poaceae
Description: misc RNA Zm00001eb029870
Source: RNAcentral